AGAGUUUGAUCCUGGCUCAGGAUGAACGCUGGCGGCGUGCCUAAUACAUGCAAGUCGAGCGAACGGACGAGAAGCUUGCUUCUCUGAUGUUAGCGGCGGACGGGUGAGUAACACGUGGAUAACCUACCUAUAAGACUGGGAUAACUUCGGGAAACCGGAGCUAAUACCGGAUGAUAUUUUGAACCGCAUGGUUCAAAAGUGAAAGACGGUCUUGCUGUCACUUAUAGAUGGAUCCGCGCUGCAUUAGCUAGUUGGUAAGGUAACGGCUUACCAAGGCAACGAUGCAUAGCCGACCUGAGAGGGUGAUCGGCCACACUGGAACUGAGACACGGUCCAGACUCCUACGGGAGGCAGCAGUAGGGAAUCUUCCGCAAUGGGCGAAAGCCUGACGGAGCAACGCCGCGUGAGUGAUGAAGGUCUUCGGAUCGUAAAACUCUGUUAUUAGGGAAGAACAUAUGUGUAAGUAACUGUGCACAUCUUGACGGUACCUAAUCAGAAAGCCACGGCUAACUACGUGCCAGCAGCCGCGGUAAUACGUAGGUGGCAAGCGUUAUCCGGAAUUAUUGGGCGUAAAGCGCGCGUAGGCGGUUUUUUAAGUCUGAUGUGAAAGCCCACGGCUCAACCGUGGAGGGUCAUUGGAAACUGGAAAACUUGAGUGCAGAAGAGGAAAGUGGAAUUCCAUGUGUAGCGGUGAAAUGCGCAGAGAUAUGGAGGAACACCAGUGGCGAAGGCGACUUUCUGGUCUGUAACUGACGCUGAUGUGCGAAAGCGUGGGGAUCAAACAGGAUUAGAUACCCUGGUAGUCCACGCCGUAAACGAUGAGUGCUAAGUGUUAGGGGGUUUCCGCCCCUUAGUGCUGCAGCUAACGCAUUAAGCACUCCGCCUGGGGAGUACGACCGCAAGGUUGAAACUCAAAGGAAUUGACGGGGACCCGCACAAG
Molecule: ribosomal RNA, 940 nt
Filed under: Staphylococcus aureus SJOS6100
Lineage: Bacteria; Bacillati; Bacillota; Bacilli; Caryophanales; Staphylococcaceae
Description: bacterial SSU rRNA
Rfam family: Bacterial small subunit ribosomal RNA
Source: RNAcentral